Molecule: ribosomal RNA, 253 nt
Filed under: uncultured bacterium
Lineage: Bacteria
Description: partial 16S ribosomal RNA
Rfam family: Bacterial small subunit ribosomal RNA
Source: RNAcentral
UACGUAGGGUGCGAGCGUUGAUCGGAAUUACUGGGCGUAAAGCGUGCGCAGGCGGUUUUGUAAGACAGAGGUGAAAUCCCCGGGCUCAACCUGGGAACUGCCUUUGUGACUGCAAGGCUUGAGUGCGGCAGAGGGGGAUGGAGUUCCGCGUGUAGCAGUGAAAUGCGUAGAUAUGCGGAGGAACACCGAUGGCGAAGGCAAUCCCCUGGGCCUGCACUGACGCUCAUGCACGAAAGAGUGGGGAGCAAACAGG